Molecule: ribosomal RNA, 38 nt
Filed under: vouchered mycorrhizae (Basidiomycota)
Lineage: Eukaryota; Fungi; Basidiomycota
Also listed under: 1 other name
Description: partial 28S ribosomal RNA
Source: RNAcentral
UUGACCUCGAAUCAGGUGGGACUACCCGCUGAACUUAA